GUGAAGCUAAUCAAGGUAUGCUUUGGAUCUACAUAUGUGAUUAAUCUGGAGGUUGCUUGGGCUCCAUUUUGUUUAAGGAAAAGAGACUUUGUGUGGGACACUAAUUUUAUACUUUUUGUUCUUUUGGAAAGUCUCUUUUGAUAUUGAAAUGUUGACGUGUUGUUGUGGAGGAACAAAAAGAUAUCAGCUAGUGUUUUAACUGCUGCAACUUUUGUUUGGGUGCUCUUUGAAUGGCUCAAUUAUCAUUUCUUGACUCUUGUGGGUUUUGCUUUGGUUCUAGGUAUGCUUGCUCAAUUUCUCUGGUCAAAUUUUUGGGGAUUCAUUUGGAGGCGAUUCCAAAUGUUCAGUUUGAGACUUAUUCGUCAACGUUGCCAUCUCAAUUGGUGAAAUUAAUAGAGGGCUGGAGCUUAUUCAGGAUGUUGCUUGUGGAGGAAAUCUGAAGCAAUUUCUUGUGGCUCCAAACAAGGACAGCAGCUGCAAUGUCAGAAAAUGCCAUAGUUCUGAGUUUUAAAUCGAGGGUUGGAGCUGCGUUUUCCAUGGUUUACAUAUUUGGAGCUCCGGUCAUGUUUGUUGGGUGAGAGCAGUGCUACACACACCUCAAAAAGUUGAAUGUAAAAUCAAUUGUGAAGACCCCUUUGGUUAGAAUGUUUUUGUUCUUUUAAUGUUGGUUUGGA
Molecule: long non-coding RNA, 674 nt
Organism: Rosa rugosa (rugosa rose)
Lineage: Eukaryota; Viridiplantae; Streptophyta; Magnoliopsida; Rosales; Rosaceae
Exons: 3
Source: RefSeq, a predicted model, not a curated record